UUUCUACCAAUGUUUGCUGACGUAUGCCGCGACGUGCCUCCUCAUUGGCCACGGCGGUCUGGGAGGAGCGCAGAGAGGCGGAGAAACGAAGAAGGAAAACAUAUUUGAACCAAGUUUGAAACGUUAGCUCGGUUUGUCAGUGCUGUACGAAAACUUAGCUACUGAAGAAGCCUGGAUACUAAAACAAACUCUGGAGCUGCGUUUUUCACGUUAAUGAAAAGGCCGGGAUGUUAAAACAAACUCUGGAGCAGUUUUUUGUCGAACAGGAGUGAGGCUGGACGCUGAACACACGUGCAGCGCGAAGGUGUCACCACGCAGAGUCUUCAUUCAAUGAAGAAGUUCUUUGAGACCAGGACUGAGGCCUCCAGGAUUCAAACUUCAACCAUUAAAUCACAGAGAGAAGAGACCGACAUGAAGACAUUUCCAGAAGGUCUUCAGCUGCUGUCGUCUUCUCCUCCUGCAGAGACAAGAACACGUGUUAAUCACAGAAACUGAUCAGUAAAUCUAAAUAUUUUUACGACGUCAUAUUCUGACUGUUUAUUUAAUGCUACUAUACUGUGACAUUUUGGACCAUUUUUGACACCUAUGACAUGUGGCUUAAGACAAAGGAACCACCUUACAGCAGCUGUCUUACCUCUACCUUUACACCUCUACACAGUGUUUGGGGGUUAGGUUAGAUUUUCAUUUUGGUAUUUCAAACUGCAAUAUCAGUACUCAAAUCCAAUUUGUUACUUUAUACAUGGUCCUGUUUAUACUGCGCAUAUUGUUUAGAAUUUUUAUAUAUUGUUAAAUGUUGUCUUGUUUAUAUCAUGCCUUUUUCUAUUUUUGCUGUUGCAACACUGAAUUUCUCUGCUGUGUGACUAAAAAAGAACUGUCUCACUGAAAUAAAUACUUCUGAACACUGAAUAUUUUGCCUGUCU
Molecule: long non-coding RNA, 920 nt
Organism: Lates calcarifer (barramundi perch)
Lineage: Eukaryota; Metazoa; Chordata; Actinopteri; Centropomidae
Exons: 4
Source: RefSeq, a predicted model, not a curated record